AUGGGUCUCCUUUAUUUUAGGACCUAUGUACAGGGUACGCGUAGUCGCUGGUCACCGUCAGCUUCCGCACUCCUAGCCGCUUCCGUUUUCUGUGAGCUCAUUCUUCACCACCGCUUCUUUGUCAUCUUUCUUCUCCUCUACCUGCACACUUUCAGUCUUGAUCUCAUUGCCAUAUUUCUUCCCGUCCACUUCCAUAUUUUCUGUCUUGAUCUCAUUGGUGUCUUUCUCCUCUGCCUGCUUACUUCCGGUCUUGAUCUCAUUGGCGUCUUUAUUCUCCUCCGCCUGCUUACUUCCAGUCUUGAUCUCAAUGGCAUCUUUCUUCUUCAAUUUCAGGAGCUCGACAAGAUCAUGGAGGGCAACAUCAGUGUCAUCGCUCCUCAUCAGAACCUCGGCGACCUCUGCAGGCGUCACCGUGACCUCCUCGAUCAACGCCUCAAUCUCAGGAUAGGUGACAUGGUAGUCAAUGGAAUGGUAGUUAUUGGCAAGGAUCUGUAA
Molecule: ribosomal RNA, 495 nt
Filed under: Triticum aestivum (bread wheat)
Lineage: Eukaryota; Viridiplantae; Streptophyta; Magnoliopsida; Poales; Poaceae
Description: partial small subunit ribosomal RNA
Source: RNAcentral